AACCUUAUGGACCUGCGGGCGUAUACCUGCGGAGGGAUCAUUACAUGGCGGAGAAGGUGGGCACCUGGCCAAAAAAAACUCCAGGUUGUCAUGCCUUCACGCUCUUCCACCCUUGUCUAUUUGUACCUUUUGUCGUUCCCUCGGCGGGUUUCGACCCGCCGGCGGUAACCAUUGAAAACCCUUUUGCAGUUUAGCAUCCAAUUCUUCUGAUCAAAUAUCAAAUCGUUACAACUUUUAACA
RNAcentral lists this unclassified non-coding RNA (240 nucleotides) under soil metagenome. Its description in RNAcentral is "partial contains 5.8S ribosomal RNA, internal transcribed spacer 2, and large subunit ribosomal RNA". The record is from RNAcentral.